This 689-nucleotide ribosomal RNA is filed under the name Chaetomium sp. DO. RNAcentral's name for it is "eukaryotic LSU rRNA". The stretch from base 261 to 414 matches the Rfam family "5.8S ribosomal RNA". The record is from RNAcentral. Lineage: Eukaryota; Fungi; Ascomycota; Sordariomycetes; Sordariales; Chaetomiaceae.
CCGGAAAGCUAUCCAAACUCGGUCAUUUAGAGGAAGUAAAAGUCGUAACAAGGUCUCCGUUGGUGAACCAGCGGAGGGAUCAUUACAGAGUUGCAAAACUCCCUAAACCAUUGUGAACGUUACCUAAACCGUUGCUUCGGCGGGCGGCCCCGGGGUUUACCCCCCGGGCGCCCCUGGGCCCCACCGCGGGCGCCCGCCGGAGGUCACCAAACUCUUGAUAAUUUAUGGCCUCUCUGAGUCUUCUGUACUGAAUAAGUCAAAACUUUCAACAACGGAUCUCUUGGUUCUGGCAUCGAUGAAGAACGCAGCGAAAUGCGAUAAGUAAUGUGAAUUGCAGAAUUCAGUGAAUCAUCGAAUCUUUGAACGCACAUUGCGCCCGCCAGUAUUCUGGCGGGCAUGCCUGUUCGAGCGUCAUUUCAACCAUCAAGCCCCGGGCUUGUGUUGGGGACCUGCGGCUGCCGCAGGCCCUGAAAAGCAGUGGCGGGCUCGCUGUCACACCGAGCGUAGUAGCAUACAUCUCGCUCUGGGCGUGCUGCGGGUUCCGGCCGUUAAACCACCUUUUAACCCAAGGUUGACCUCGGAUCAGGUAGGAAGACCCGCUGAACUUAAGCAUAUCAAUAAGCGGAGGAAAAGAAACCAACAGGGAUUGCCCUAGUAACGGCGAGUGAAGCGGCAACAGCUCAAAUUUG